RNAcentral lists this ribosomal RNA (495 nucleotides) under uncultured bacterium. Its description in RNAcentral is "partial 16S ribosomal RNA". It matches the Rfam family "Bacterial small subunit ribosomal RNA", at positions 28 to 507 of the family's 1533-position model. The record is from RNAcentral.
GACGAACGCUGGCGGCGUGCCUAAUACAUGCAAGUAGAACGCUGAAGGAGGAGCUUGCUUCUCUGGAUGAGUUGCGAACGGGUGAGUAACGCGUAGGUAACCUGCCUGGUAGCGGGGGAUAACUAUUGGAAACGAUAGCUAAUACCGCAUAAGAGUAGAUGUUGCAUGACAUUUGCUUAAAAGGUGCAAUUGCAUCACUACCAGAUGGACCUGCGUUGUAUUAGCUAGUUGGUGGGGUAACGGCUCACCAAGGCGACGAUACAUAGCCGACCGGAGAGGGGGGUCAGCCACACUGGGACGGAGACACGGCCCAGACUCCUUCGGGAGGCAGCAGUAGUGAAUCUUCGGCAAUCGGCGGAAGACUGACCGAGCUACGCCGCGUGAGUGUAGAAGGUUUUCGGGUCGUAAAGCUCUGUUGUAAGGGAAGAACGCGUGUGAGAGUGGAAAGUUCACACUGUGACGGUAUCUUACCAGAAAGGGACGGCUAACUACGUG